GCGAUUGUGGCGCAGUGCCAGCGCAGCUGACUACCACACAAGAGGUCACAGGUUCGAAUCCAGGUUAAAGCU
Non-coding RNA from Oesophagostomum dentatum (nodular worm), 72 nucleotides. Lineage: Eukaryota; Metazoa; Nematoda; Chromadorea; Rhabditida; Strongylidae. The record is from the annotation of a GenBank genome assembly.